CAGUCGAGCGAUGAUGAAGAAAGCUUGCUUCUUCUGAUUUAGCGGCGGACGGGUGAGUAACACGUGGGCAACCUGCCCUGUAGAUUGGGAUAACUCCGGGAAACCGGGGCUAAUACCGAAUAAUCCAUUACCUCACAUGAGGAAAUGUUAAAAGACGGUCUCGGCUGUCACUACAGGAUGGGCCCGCGGCGCAUUAGCUAGUUGGUGAGGUAACGGCUCACCAAGGCGACGAUGCGUAGCCGACCUGAGAGGGUGAUCGGCCACACUGGGACUGAGACACGGCCCAGACUCCUACGGGAGGCAGCAGUAGGGAAUCUUCCACAAUGGACGAAAGUCUGAUGGAGCAACGCCGCGUGAGUGAAGAAGGUUUUCGGAUCGUAAAACUCUGUUGUGAGGGAAGAACAAGUACGAGAGUAACUGCUCGUACCUUGACGGUACCUCAUUAGAAAGCCACGGCUAACUACGUGCCAGCAGCCGCGGUAAUACGUAGGUGGCAAGCGUUGUCCGGAAUUAUUGGGCGUAAAGCGCGCGCAGGCGGUCCUUUAAGUCUGAUGUGAAAGCCCACGGCUCAACCGUGGAGGGUCAUUGGAAACUGGGGGACUUGAGUGCAGAAGAGGAAAGCGGAAUUCCAAGUGUAGCGGUGAAAUGCGUAGAGAUUUGGAGGAACACCAGUGGCGAACGCGGCUUUCUGGUCUGUAACUGACGCUGAGGCGCGAAAGCGUGUGGAGCAAACUGGAUUACAUACCCUGGUAGUCCACGCCUUAUAUUAUGAUUGCUAAU
Molecule: ribosomal RNA, 780 nt
Filed under: Psychrobacillus psychrodurans
Lineage: Bacteria; Bacillati; Bacillota; Bacilli; Caryophanales; Bacillaceae
Description: bacterial SSU rRNA
Rfam family: Bacterial small subunit ribosomal RNA
Source: RNAcentral